AGAAGAUCAUCAUCAUCGGAAAAGUAUGCUCCUUGAUUUAUGGAAUGAAUACUGCAAUGGUGGAUGGAGUUUUCAAAUGUUUAAAAUACCAUUUCGGUUUUGAAUUCAAAUAAGAUCUAAAAGAGUUAGAUAUUUCGUUCUACUUGGGGCAUAAAUGCUAUGCACUCCAUCUUUAGCGUGGUUUGUCUCAAUUAAUUUACCCUUGAUCUCUGCAGGAAGGAAGGGCUCUGAAAUUACUU
RNAcentral lists this unclassified non-coding RNA (239 nucleotides) under Hevea brasiliensis (rubber tree). The record is from RNAcentral. Lineage: Eukaryota; Viridiplantae; Streptophyta; Magnoliopsida; Malpighiales; Euphorbiaceae.